CCUACGGGUGGCUGCAGUGGGGAAUAUUGGACAAUGGGCGAAAGCCUGAUCCAGCCAUGCCGCGUGUGUGAAGAAGGCCUUCGGGUUGUAAAGCACUUUCAGUGGGGAAGAAAGCCUUGGGGCUAAUACCCUCGAGGAAGGACAUCACCCACAGAAGAAGCACCGGCUAACUCCGUGCCAGCAGCCGCGGUAAUACGGAGGGUGCGAGCGUGAAUCGGAAUUACUGGGCGUAAAGCGCGCGUAGGCGGUCUGAUAAGCCGGUUGUGAAAGCCCCGGGCUCAACCUGGGAACGGCAUCCGGAACUGUCAGGCUAGAGUGCAGGAGAGGAAGGUAGAAUUCCCGGUGUAGCGGUGAAAUGCGUAGAGAUCGGGAGGAAUACCAGUGGCGAAGGCGGCCUUCUGGACUGACACUGACGCUGAGGUGCGAAAGCGUGGGUAGCAAACAGGAUUAGAUACCCUAGUAGUC
This 465-nucleotide ribosomal RNA is filed under the name Vreelandella stevensii. RNAcentral describes it as "partial 16S ribosomal RNA". It matches the Rfam family "Bacterial small subunit ribosomal RNA", at positions 338 to 795 of the family's 1533-position model. The record is from RNAcentral. Lineage: Bacteria; Pseudomonadati; Pseudomonadota; Gammaproteobacteria; Oceanospirillales; Halomonadaceae.